GGCCGUAUGGUCUAGUAGCAUGAUUCUCGCUUUGGGGGUCACAAAUUUGUCUCAAUCUGCGAGAGGUCCUGGGUUCAAUUCCCAGUGCGGCCC
Non-coding RNA from Malassezia sp. CBS 17886, 93 nucleotides. NCBI's taxonomy places the organism in Eukaryota, Fungi, Basidiomycota, Malasseziomycetes, Malasseziales, Malasseziaceae. The record is from the annotation of a GenBank genome assembly.